Molecule: ribosomal RNA, 468 nt
Filed under: uncultured bacterium
Lineage: Bacteria
Description: partial 16S ribosomal RNA
Rfam family: Bacterial small subunit ribosomal RNA
Source: RNAcentral
GACGAACGCUGGCGGCGUGCUUAACACAUGCAAGUCGAACGGAAACGCCCUGUUUUUGUGGGCUGCUCGAGUGGCGAACGGGUGAGUAACACGUGAGUAACCUGCCCCUCACUGUAGGAUAACUUUAGGAAACAGGGGCUAAUACCGGAUAGGAGCUCCUGCUGCAUGGUGGGGGUUGGAAAGUUUCGGCGGUUGGGGAUGGACUCGCGGCUCAUCAGCUUGUUGGUGGGGUAGUGGCUUACCAAGGCCUUGACGGGUAGCCGGCCUGAGAGGGGCACCGGCCCCAUGAGGCCUGAGCUACGACCCAGCCUCGAACGGUAGGCAACGGAGGAGAAUAUAAUACAGUGGGCGGGAGCCUGAUGUGACACCGCCGCGUCCGGGAAGACAGCAUGCGGGUAGUGAAGCGCUGCCGCCUGUGACGAAGUGUGAGUGACGGUACCGGGUGAAUAAGCACCGGCUAACUACGUG